UACGGAGGAUCCAAGCGUUAUCCGGAAUCAUUGGGUUUAAAGGGUGCGUAGGUGGGUCUGUAAGUCAGUGGUGAAAUCUCCGAGCUUAACUCGGAAACUGCCAUUGAUACUAUAGGUCUUGAAUUAUCUGGAGGUAAGCGGAAUAUGUCAUGUAGCGGUGAAAUGCUUAGAUAUGACAUAGAACACCAAUUGCGAAGGCAGCUUACUACGGAUAUAUUGACACUGAGGCACGAAAGCGUGGGGAUCAAACAGG
Molecule: ribosomal RNA, 253 nt
Filed under: uncultured bacterium
Lineage: Bacteria
Description: partial 16S ribosomal RNA
Rfam family: Bacterial small subunit ribosomal RNA
Source: RNAcentral